RNAcentral lists this ribosomal RNA (243 nucleotides) under uncultured bacterium. RNAcentral's name for it is "partial 16S ribosomal RNA". It matches the Rfam family "Bacterial small subunit ribosomal RNA", at positions 114 to 353 of the family's 1533-position model. The record is from RNAcentral.
AACGUGGGUAACCUGCCUUAUAGUGGGGGAUAGCCUUUCGAAAGGAAGAUUAAUACCGCAUAAGAUUGUAGUAUCGCAUGAUAUAGCAAUUAAAGGAGCAAUCCGCUAUAAGAUGGACCCGCGUCGCAUUAGCUAGUUGGUGAGGUGAUGGCUCACCAAGGCGACGAUGCGUAGCCGACCUGAGAGGGUGAUCGGCCACAUUGGGACUGAGACACGGCCCAGACUCCUACGGGAGGCAGCAUG